Molecule: long non-coding RNA, 2853 nt
Organism: Puntigrus tetrazona (Sumatra barb)
Lineage: Eukaryota; Metazoa; Chordata; Actinopteri; Cypriniformes; Cyprinidae
Exons: 3
Source: RefSeq, a predicted model, not a curated record
GAUCAUACUUCCUAGUUCUAGUAAGGACUCUACUGCUAUGUUUUGGACUAGCUGAAGUUUGUUUAUCAAGCGUGCAGAACAACCACCCAAGAAACUUAUGCUUAUGCAUUGUUGAAGGACUAACCGAAACAGAAUUUGUCACUCCACAUUAAACCGCAAAAACAGCACUUAUUGCUUGAAUACUGCAAAAUUUUUCGUACAAAAAUCUAAACACUUGAAUUAAAGUCAGUUUCAAUUGAGUUCAGUUAUCUUUUUUUCUUUGGCACAUUAGAGUCAAAUGUUUUUACAGAGGAAUGUAAUUCUUCUUACUCCAUCAGUCAUAUUUAAGUGCCGUUGAAGUACAGAUUAAUAUCUCACUUUGAGAAAACCGCCUUUAAAAUGAUUUAUUGUUAUUGAAGUCUGAGACAAAUGUUUCUUUCAUAGCACCUUAUUUAAGUGUCUUUUUAGGUGUUUCCUUUCCAGUGGCCUACAAAAAAACACUUCAUGAUAAAUCAAAAAGCUUUUUUUGGUUUAGUUUUUUUCUGCAGAGUCUGCCCUUAACUGAGAACAGGCCUGACUAAUCAGUUCUUGGCAUUUAAGAGUCAACAUCAUUUCGUAAAAAUGAGAAUCGAUUAAAAUCAAAGAGAUCAAUAUUUUUUUACCCAGCCCUAUUAGUGUGUGUGUGUAUUUGGCUGGCUGUGUGUGUGUCUGUCUCUGCAUGUGAGACAAAGCCAUUCGUUUGAAGCCUUAACAGCGCAGCUGGUUCGAGGAUGUCCGGGACGCGGAGGACGCUCUGCUCAAUCUGGACAGGAAGUGGGUCUGUGGCCGUCAGAUCGAGAUCCAGUUUGCUCAGGGAGACCGCAAGACGCCGGGGCAGAUGAAAGCCAAGGAGCGUCAGUCUCCUCGCAGCUCACGAUAUGAGGACUACGAUCGACGCAGACGCUCGCGCAGCCGUGACAGACGCAGAUCACGCAGCCCGUCCUAUGACAGACGCCGUCGUCGGUCGCAGAGCCCUAGAGAGUCCAGAGGAAGAACACACCGCAGACGCAGCCCAGAACAUGACCGGUACGUGAGACUUUACUGAUCGCAGCUUUACACGGACAAUACAGGACACUCACUUACUACUUGCUGUUAUUUUAUGUUAUUUAAAAAAACUUCCAAAAACAUAUAUUUUCUGACAUUUCUCUCAUCGUGGUUCACAUUCGUUCAUACUCGCUCAUGAUACUCGUUAGUGCUGUGCAAGAGACUCCAUGCUCAGAUCAUCCUAUUAUCAGCCUGUGAGAUCGCAGAAACCUGUUACCGUUAUUUAUUUACUUGGUUUCAAGACCAGAGAGUGAACCCACGGUUCAUAGCAACUUAUGUUUUUAUUACUUUAUGAUGGGCAGAAGAGAAAGCACACACUGAACAACAAAACUCUGGUGGUUUAACACCUUUCUUUGGAUGCUGCAUUCAUAAACUCAAUAUAAUCGCGUGUGAUUGGUUAAAACGCACAACUGUAAAAAUGCUGAAAAUAAAUCAAAUUAACCAAAUAAGCCCUAAUAUUGGAUAAUAAUUCUAGCUUAAUGAUGAUGAUGAUGAUGAUAAUCAUCUUCAGAAACAACACCGUAAUCACAUACUGUGUGUGUGUGUGUGUGUGUGUGUGUAUAUAUAUAUGUAUGACACACACAGUACCGUUCAAAAGUUUGGUUUGAUUUCCAUGAAAAAAAUCACACUUUUAUUUACCACAGUGAGUUGUAAAAUUAAUAGAAAAUAUAGUCAAGACUUUGACAAGGUUAGAAAUAAUGAUUUGUAGUAAUAAUUUUUUUCCUUCAAACUUUGCUUUUGUCAAAGAAUCCUCCGUUUGCAGCAAUUACAGCAUUGCAGACCUCUGGCAUUCUAGCUGUUAAUUUGUUGAGGUAAUCUGGAGAAAUUUCACCCCACGCUUCUAGAAGCCCUUCUCUCGAGUUGGAUUGGCUGGAUGGGCACUUAUGAAAUACUUAUGUAUAACUGACAACUAAUGAAAACACCAUAUUUAUUAUCUCAGAAAAUUUGAAUAUUGUGAAAAGGUUGAAUAUUGAAGACACCCGGUGCCUCUCUAAUCAGCUAAUUAACUCAAAACACCUGCAAAGGCCUUUAAAUGCUCUCUGUCUAGUUCUGUAGGCUACACAACCAUGGGGAAGAAUGCUGACUUGAAAGUUGUCCAAAAGACGACCAUUGACAGGAUUGUGAAACAAAACCCUUUCAAAAAUGUGGGGGAGAUUCACAAAGAGUAUACUGCAGCUGGAGUCUGUGCUUCAAGAACCACUACACACAGACGUGUACAAUACGUUUCAGCUGUCACAUACCUUGUGUCAAGACACUCUUGAACAACAGACAGCGUCAGAAGCAUCUCGCCUGGGCUAAAGACAAAAAGUUUUAGAGCACUUCAUGCUUCCUGCUGCUGACCAACUUUACGGAGAUGCAGAUUUAAUUUUCCAACAGGACUUGGCACCUGCACACAGCGCCAAAGCUAGCAGUACCUGGUUUAAGCACCAUGUUAUCCCUGUUCUUAAUUGGCUAGCGACCUCGCCUGAUUCUCUAUCGGGUUUUUGUGAAGAUGCGAUAUGCCAGACCCAACGAUGCAGAAGAGCUGAAGGCCACUAUCAGAGCGACCCGGGCUCUCAUAACACCUGAGCAGUGCCACAGACUGACCGACUCCACGCUCAUCAAUUGAGUGCUGGACCUGCUCAUACUUUUCAGUUGGCCAAGAUUCCUAAAAAUCCUCCCUUUGUUUUGGUCUAAAGUAAUAUUAUAAUUUUCACAUUUAAAAUAUCUAAAUAAAUGAAUAUAAUACACAAGUUUCACAUUUUCAGUGGAAUUAGUGAAAUCAACCUUUUGAUAUUCUAAUUAUAUGGC